Molecule: long non-coding RNA, 284 nt
Filed under: Gossypium raimondii (Peruvian cotton)
Lineage: Eukaryota; Viridiplantae; Streptophyta; Magnoliopsida; Malvales; Malvaceae
Description: long non-coding RNA (GRAI_LNC007855)
Source: RNAcentral
CUACUUGAAGAGAAGCGUCAAGAGAAGUCAAGACUCGGCAAGACCGGGAAAAUUUGGUCUUUUUUAGUCUUUGCUCUAUUCUCGUUACACGACAACGAGCAAAGAGGGGCAGCUGUACAAAGCCUAAAUUUGCCUCAACCCAACAAACUAAAUUAAACCCAAAAAACUGCAAGCCCAAACCCAAUACAUCAAUUACCCUAGCCCAUGUUCAAAAAAAAAAAAAGAACAAGUAGCAGCAACCCUAGGUGCGUGGCACCUAGGGUCUUCAGCCACCAACCUGCCGC